Molecule: ribosomal RNA, 492 nt
Filed under: uncultured bacterium
Lineage: Bacteria
Description: partial 16S ribosomal RNA
Rfam family: Bacterial small subunit ribosomal RNA
Source: RNAcentral
AUGGAACGCUGGCGGCAUGCUUUACACAUGCAAGUCGAACGGUAACAGGCCUUCGGGUGCUGACGAGUGGCGAACGGGUGAGUAAUGCAUCGGAACGUACCCAGAGGUGGGGGAUAACGCAGCGAAAGCUGUGCUAAUACCGCAUGUGAUCUGAGGAUGAAAGCGGGGGACCGAGCAGCAAUGUUUGGCCUCGCGCCUUUGGAGCGGCCGAUGUCGGAUUAGCUAGUUGGUGGGGUAAAGGCCUACCAAGGCGACGAUCCGUAGCUGGUCUGAGAGGACGACCAGCCACACUGGGACUGAGACACGGCCCAGACUCCUACGGGAGGCAGCAGUGGGGAAUUUUGGACAAUGGGCGCAAGCCUGAUCCAGCAAUGCCGCGUGCGGGAAGAAGGCCUUCGGGUUGUAAACCGCUUUUGGCAGGAACGAAACGGUGUCCGCUAAUACCGGGCGCUAAUGACGGUACCUGCAGAAUAAGCACCGGCUAACUACGUG